AGUGGAAAUAUUAUACAGGGAGCAGCUAGCUUUUCUUGGCUUUCUUGUUUGUUCCUGAGCUGACAAUAGAAAUCUUUGAGAAUUGGAACUAGUGCGCUUUGAAAACAAAACUCUCUUCACUUACAGGGCAUGGAUUUUUCUGCUAAUUUGGAUUCUUUUGAGGACAAAUUUGCAUACCAUUAUCAUUAUCAUUGUUUCAUCGAAAAAAAAAUAAAAGAAGCACCUGUGGGAUAGAGAAUGAGAGAGGAACACAGAAUGGCGAAAGAGGUGUUAGAGCAGUCGGAGGAAAUGGACAUACUUUGGAAGACAGAGACCUGGUAAUCCCUUUUCACCCAAGAAGAACCAAGCCCUGGAUGAAUGGAUGAGCAGCUCACGUUUUUCUGCCCCCCACCCCCAGUCUUUCUGAGACUGACUUUGUCCUAGGAAUUGUUCGUCCCUCUGGAAGCUAGUCUGGUAUGUGGAUGUUCCUUAGAGCCCUGGUGAUAGGGAAUUAGGAAGUAAGUGCUUGAACUGAAGCCCUUUUGUCCUAAUUCACUGGUAUCUGGGGCAAAAGCUUGCCCUCUCUGUGAAAAUGAAAUGAAAAUCUUUUCAUUUUCUGGGAGCUCAAGGUCAGACCCUGGCACAGUAGGGACCCAAUCCGUGGGCUGUUCCUGAACCCCUACCCCAGACCAUUGCCCUGGAUGGCUCUUGAAGCUGGUGGCAAGAGAGAACUGAGAGUUCUCUAAGGAAAAGAGCAGCCAGGUUGCUCCUUUGUUUUAAAUUAUUUAGCUGCACCAAAUUUUCAGAUUUGUGGCAACAACAACUCUAUUUAAAAACUCCAGGCACAUGAUGGAUGAGCUCAAUGUUUUCAGUCAGUUCCCAGCUUCCAGCCCACCCUACGGGAAUCUUCUAAGAGUUACUUGGGCUUGCCUGGGUCAGCCUCCAACUAUUGGGACCAGCUAAAGUGCAAGAGCUACACAAUGCCUAUCAUGAUAUUUGGCGUAUGUUUUUCAUAUAAAUGAAUUUCAUCAAGUCCCAUACACCACCUCCAAGAGAAAAAAGAUACUCAACUUAGGAAGUCAGAACUGGGAUGUUUGCAUAGAAGUCACGCUUUUUGUAUAGAUGGGUUGUGUGAGUUUAUUUCCAUGGACUUCUGCCUGUGAAAUAGGUAGUGUGUGUGUUUCUGAGAUUCUCUUGUAUGAAGCUGCUGCUCUUCUCACAAAGCUCAUCAUUUUAGGUGAGACUGAAUGUGACACCCAUUGAAGCUGCUUUGGAGCCCAAGAUGCAUGCCCUAAUACAACCACUUUUUUUUUUUUUUCGGAUGGAGUCUCACUCUGUCACCAGGCUGAAGUGCAGUGGUGUGAUCUUGGUUCACUGCAACCUCUGCCUCCCAGGUUAAAGCGAUUCUCCUGCCUCAGCCUCCUGAGUAGCUGGGACUGCAGGUGCAUGCCACCACCCCCGGCUAAUUUUUGUAUUUUUAGUAGAAAUGGGGUUUCACCAUGUUGGCCAGGAUGGUCUCGAUCUCCUGACCUCAUGAUUCAUCCUCCUUGGCCUCCCAAAGUGCUGGGAGCCACUGCGCCCAGCCAAUACAACCACUUUUAUUGAAUGCUUCCUAUAUUCCAGAGAUUUUAUAUAUACGCGUUACAUUAUAUUCGCUAACAUCCUUGCUCAAAAAUAAUAAGGCAGGUAUUAUCAUUCCUAUUUUAUAGCUAAGAAAAUUAAGACUCACAGAUGUUGCUCAAAGUCACAUCAAGGUUUGGCUUAUUCCAAGCCUGGAGUUUCGUUUCAUCAUACGACAAUAUCUCUUCUCUGGCAAGUUUCUAGGACUACCCUACAUAACAUCUGCUGUGCUGUCAAAACACAAGAUGAUGCUUCUUCCUCUAUAAUGACAAUCUCUGGGGGAGGGUGUUUGGCAAGUGGAAUGUGGGAGGGGGCCUCUUGGGAAGCUGACAAGGUUCUAUUUCUUUCUCUUGAUAGUGAUUGCACAGGUAUGUUCACUUUGUGAUAAUUCACCAAGGUAGACACAUAAGAUUCAGGAUUUUUUGGUGUUUGUCAUAUUUCUUUUUGUUUUUUUGAGAUGGAGUCUUGCUCUGUUGCUGAAGCUGGAGUGCAGUGGUGUGAUCUUGGCUCACUGCAGUCUCCACCUCCUCGGUUCAAGUGAUUCUCCUGUCUCAGCCUCCCUAGUAGCUGAGAUUAUAGGAGUGUGUUACCACGCCUAGCUGAUUUUUGUAUUUUUAGUAGAGACAAAGUUUCGCCAUGUUGGCCAGGCUGGUCUUGAACUCCUGACCUCAAGAGAUCUGCCCGCCUCAGCUUCCCAAAGUGGUGUUUGUUAUGUGUCAAUAACAAGUCUAUUUAAAAAAUCAUUUCCCCACGCUGGGCAUGGUGGCUCAUACAUAUAAUGCCAGCACUUUGGGAGGCCGAGCGGGUGGAUCUCUUGAGGCCAGGAGUUCAAGACCAGCCUGGCCAACAUGGUGAAACUCUGUCUCUACAAAACAACAACUGCCAAAAAAUUAGCCAGGCAUGGUGGCACAUGCCUGCAGUUCCAGUUACUGGGGAGGCUGAGGUGGGAGAAUCACUUGCCUGGGAGGCAGAGGUUGCAGUGAGCUGAGAUCACACCACUGCAUUCCAGCCUGGGUGACAGACUGAGACCCCACUUCAAAAAAAGAAUUUAUCCUAGCAAUUAAUGUUGGAGGGGAGCCCUGCUUCUCAUGGACAAUAGACACUAAUCAAUCAAUGGGAACUCCUUGGACUCUACUACAUAGUAAUUUUUAAUAUAAUACAAAUAAGUUGAUGCCCUACCCCUUUACAAAAAGAGUUUUAAGUGGAUCACAAUAAAACAUCAUGCACAAUCAUAAAGUAGUAUUAGGAGGAGGUUGUCAGCACUAUAUAAGAAGGAAAACUUUCCUUACAUACAUAUGUCACUCUGCUGGGCACCACAGAAGGUUUAAGGCUGGCUCCUGCUCUCAGGGUGCUCACACAGCCAAGCUGAUGACAUUGAGCCUUUACUAGUAGUAAAUAGAUACUUGCCUUUAAAUAUGUUGGAACUUGUUGGAAUGGGUUCCCACUCUCAAUUUGGUGAUCAAUAAACUCAAAGGAAGUAACAGUCUUCAUGGACUACAUCCUACAUCUCGUGUGUGGGUAAUUGAAAUGGAAAAUACCACAUCUGAUCAAUAUUUUGAACAAUCUGAGCUCCCAAUCUUAAAGCUUUCAAAAUGAGUAUUUAUACCUUUAUAGGAUGGUAUAAACUUGGAGAGACCCACAUAUCUAGUUGCCAGGAAAAUUUUGUAAUUGAUUUGUAAUUAUGUUCCUCUGCUUGCAUAAACUUUUUUUUUCUUUUUUUUUUUGAGACAAGGUCUUGCUUUGUUGCCCAGGCUAGAGUGGAGUGCAGUGGUGUGAUUUCGGUUCACUGCAGUCUCUGCCUCCCAGGCUCAAGCAAUUCUCCUGCCUCAGCCUCCUGAGUAGCUGGGAUCACAGGCGCACACCACCAUGCCCAGCGAAUUUUUGUAUUUUUAGUAGAGACAGAUUUUACCAUGUUGGCCAGGCUGGUCUUGAACCCUUGACCUCAAGCGGUCCACCGCCUCGGCCUCCCAAAGUGCUGAGAUUACAGGUGUGAGCCACCAUGCCUGGCCUUGCAUGCAGUUUUUACUGGGCUAAAUUGACAACAUCAAAUAGCACAGAAUUUCUUCUAGUUUACUUCAAACUGUGAUGGCUUUAAAAUUUCUAGACUGGGAUAGUUGUUAUACAUUUUUUCUCCUUCUCUAUAUCCUAGGAAUUCAGAGACCUGGAGGGAGAAGACACAUGGACUGUCAGAUCUAGAGACCUGCUUCCUUCAAUAGCUGAUUUUCUUUCAUUUGUGUCAGAAACAGGCAGCAUGGCACAGAGCCAUGCACCUAAAACUUUAUUGUGCAUAUUUAUUCCUAGAGAUCUUGUUAAAAUGCAGAUUCAGAUUCAGCCAAUCUAGGGUCAGGGCUUUCUAUUGUAAUAAGUUCCAAGGUAAUGCCAAUGCUGCUGGUCCAUGGACUGCACACUUUGAUGAGAAGUUUAGUAAGGAUAUAGAGGAAAGAAUACUACACGUGUAGUAGUAAUUUCUGGCUUUUAGUAUCAGCUCUGCCAUUUACCAGCUUGCUUUCUUGGACAAGUCAUUUUUCCUCUCUGGAUUUUAGUUUCCUCAAAUAUAAGCUGGGUGAUAGAGGAGGAGGUUGGGUUAGGUUAUUUCAAAGCUUGCAUUCAUAGACUCUUCAAAGUGAUGUUUUGAUUAAAAAACUCCACCUAUAGGAUCACGUACAGCUUUUCAAAGGACUAGCAGGUGAACUGGCAUUAUCAAAGCAGAAAAUAUAGGGGCUGGAGCAGGAAGGCAUGGCAAAGUCAGAGAAAAGGAAGGUGAGCCAUAAUAACUUCUUAUGGCAAAUAUAACACUUUGAUUAUUUCAGAGUGAUGGAUUUUGAAUUAAAACUGUUAUCCUGAGAGAGGCUACUAUUUUUCCCAACAACUAUCUUAGGGGGAGACCUGCAUUACUGAAAACUGAGUUGCAUAAGAAACUUGAGUGAAGGAAGCAAUGGAUAUGUUAGUGCUUUGAAAUAAGCAAAUGCUUACAGGGGCUGUGAGGGAAUCAUGGCUGGAGGGAAGCUUUCUGGAGCCAUGAGGGAGUCUGAUUUGAAAACAGCAGUUCAUCUCUGCUGCAGACCAUUUAUCUAAUUUCAGACAAAUUGGCCAGAAAUUCAGGUAUUUGGCCACUGCUAGCAGAUGUAACAGGGAGAAAUGCAGUCUCCUACAAGGGUUAGGAGAGCAAGGUGCCAGGGGUCACCCAGGGGCAUAAAUAGGCAAGGAGAAGGAGGGGGUGAAAAAGGAACACAGAUGAUGUAAGUGAAUGAAUGAAGCUUCUGACCAUCUGAGCCUCUGGCGGCAGCCCUUCCCCAAGAGCUCACGCAUCUCUGUUUUGAGCAGGAAACAGGAUCAGACAGAAAGGGCUCCCCAGACUCACAGAUACAAGCUAGUUUCUCAUUAAGUCCCAAAGCAAAGUCAGGGGAGUGGAGAAAACUCCUGGUGCUGGCGCCUCUUCCAACGUUAGGUUGAGGAAUACAGGAGAUGUUUACCUUAUGCAGGACGUGGUCGUUGAAGUCAGGGCCAGCUCCUCCCUGGUAGGAAUCGGGUCUCUGCAGGUCCAUGCCAGGCUUGGAGCUCGCCGCUCCGGCUCUCCCUGCGCUCUGCGUCAGCGCUUCCAGGAGCUCGGUUCGAGCUCCGCUGGGUGCGGCAGGCUUGGGUCUGAGCUCUGCGGGCCGGGCCGCAUCCGUUUUCAGCACUGGACAGUUCCCCGCAGCGGCCGCGGCGCGGUACCAGGCGGGCAGGCGGCCACGUUCUUCCAGGACUGAGCGUUUCAGCACCAGGAACAGCGACUCCGCCGUUGUGCGCCCGGGACCAGAGUUCUGAGAUCCUGUCCGCUCCAAUCCCUGCCUCUUAGGACUCCAGGAUGCUGGCAGGGACGCAAGAUUUGGGUCCGGCUGGUGAUCCCUGCGUAUUUCAUUCAGCUACCGGACUCCGGAGGCUCAGCACCCGGCUGCGUUCUCAGGGCAUUGCGGUCCCAGGAGCUCACCGUUCCUGAUCCCGAGCGAACGGGCAUCUCCGUCACCACGCAGCUCAGCGCAGCGCAGCUCUCCUCACACGUUUGCAGAGGCGAAGUCCUGCGGCGCUGGCGGCGCUUCUGUUUUUGUCCCUGGACAAUUCUCUCCAGGAUGUAUGAGAUAAAUAGAGCUUCUAAGUCUGAGGUCGACAGUAGAUGGGUCUUAGGUGUCCCCAAAGUCCCUGAAAUAUGCAAAAUUCUGUUUACCUGCGUUUUCCUAGGGAGAAGGUCCAGGGCUUUGAUCACAUUCUCUCCAGCACACAUGACCGCAAGAAGUUAAGGACAAUGGGCUCAGGAGAGGCAGAUGGUGGUUUGGUUAGGAGCACAGGCUCCAGGAUUCAAAUCUCGAUUCUGAAAAUUAUUAGUCGUGCAAACUCGGGCAAAUUAAUCUUUCCUAAGUGUCCACAAAAUGGAGAUAAUAUUAUAAUAGUACCUGCCUCAUGGUUUUGUUCUGAGUAUUUAAUGAGUUAAUUCAUGUAAAAAGCCUAGAACAGUGCCCAGCGUGUACUAAGAACUCAAUAAAUGUGAGCUACUAUGCUCUCCUGGCAGGGGAUGAAGAGCUCUGGCUACUUCUCCUAUACGUCAGGGGAGUCCUGCUGCUGCGACCUUUGAUUGGCAAAAUUGCAUCAUCACAUGGAAUAUGAGAGCGUGAGGCUGACCACCAUGGGAACUGGAGGCUGAGACUGUGGCCCCUGGGAUUAUUAUCAGAUUACUAAGGACAAGUCCUAGUACCAGCCACGGGCCCUUGGAGUCAAUAUCAACAUGGAAGGAAAGAGCCAGGCUUAGGGUUAAAAGAGUGCGUUUUACUGCUGGGUUUCACUCCUUUUUGGCUGAGUUGUGUGAACCAGAUCACUCGUGUUCCCUGGGAUUACUUAUGUUUUCUCAUCUGCAAAAUAGGUAGAGUAAUCUAUGCCCACUUUAUUGGGUUUGGGGGAAGAGUGAGACAAUGUACAUGAAAAGUCUUUAUUUUCUUUUAAAUUGUAAAGUAAAUUUCAUUUAUAAGGUGUUAUUAUUGCUGGAAUCACUAUACUGUAGAUACUCAAUGAACAUUGAUUAAAUGAACAAAGCUAGGGAA
Long non-coding RNA from Homo sapiens (human), 6671 nucleotides. RefSeq annotates it as RAB37 antisense RNA 1. The record is from RefSeq and is a predicted model, not a curated record. The transcript has 2 exons. Lineage: Eukaryota; Metazoa; Chordata; Mammalia; Primates; Hominidae.